UAUCAAUAAGCGGAGGAAAAGAAACCAACAGGGAUUACCUCAGUAACGGCGAGUGAAGCGGUAACAGCUCAAAUUUGAAAUCUGGCCGCAAGGUCCGAGUUGUAAUUUGUAGAGGAUGUUUCGAGCAUGGUCUGGCCUAAGUUCCUUGGAACAGGACGUCAUAGAGGGUGAGAAUCCCGUAUGCGGUCAGGUGCCUACGCUCAUGUGAAACUCCUUCGCCGAGUCGAGUUGUUUGGGAAUGCAGCUCAAAAUGGGUGGUAAAUUUCAUCUAAAGCUAAAUAUUGGCCAGAGACCGAUAGCGCACAAGUAGAGUGAUCGAAAGAUGAAAAGCACUUUGGAAAGAGAGUUAAACAGUACGUGAAAUUGUUGAAAGGGAAGCGCUUGCAACCAGACUUGCGCGCGGCUGAUCAUCCGGGCUUCUGCCCGGUGCACUCGGUCGCGCUCAGGCCAGCAUCGGUUUUGGUGGCGGGAUAAAGGCCUUGGGAAUGUAGCUCCUCUCGGGGAGUGUUAUAGCCCAGGGUGGCAAUGCCGCCUACCGGGACCGAGGACCGCGCU
This 555-nucleotide ribosomal RNA is filed under the name [Candida] sp. 'davisiana'. RNAcentral's name for it is "Candida sp. 'davisiana' partial large subunit ribosomal RNA". It matches the Rfam family "Eukaryotic large subunit ribosomal RNA", at positions 41 to 603 of the family's 3401-position model. The record is from RNAcentral. Lineage: Eukaryota; Fungi; Ascomycota; Saccharomycetes; Saccharomycetales.